AACCACUGUCACCAGUGUCCCCGUGUCACUAAUGUCACCCGUGUCACCAGUGACAUUUAGUGACUACCAGAAAGUGGUCUGGGGGGAAAUGAGGUGCAGUGCAAAGGACCAAAACGUGCCAAAACUGACCUCACAGAUGCUGCAAAAGCAGGGGGGAAAAUUAAGGAGGAAGAUGCAGCUUUGAGGGGAAGAUAUGGCUGACAUGGCACGGAUACUUGAAAAAAACAUGAAUCUUGGCCAAAGUGAGAGCCAUCCAAAGGGAUGGGGUGCCAAGAAGGGACAUCUCAGCUGUGUGCUGAAGGAAAGCCCUCCUCACAUUUGGGGCUCUGGGGUUUUGGCUGCUCUUGGCUGCUGCUUGCUUUUCCUUGUGGGUACAAGGCUCCCAUCAGCUCAUUAGCAUCAGCUGCAGCCACAUCUUUUAUGCAAAUGCCUGAUCAGUUUAUGAACUGCUCCUUGUUUUCAGUUUCAGGUGGGAUAGUUAUAAAUACCCAGACUAAAAUAGGCUUAUUACAAAAGCUCAUUAGGAGAUUCAGAGGUGUGAUCCUGGCGUGGGGAGAGUGAGCAGUGAGGAGCUGCUGUGCCAGAGCUGCAGGAUGCCAGAGCCUGGCUCUGCUGCUCUCACACCUGCAGAUGCUGUGAGGGUUCAUCCAACAAUGCAGCUGAAACCCUGCCCUGGUGGAGGCAGCUGCACGGUGGCCAUCAAUCCAUUUCCUCCAGGAAACCAGGUGAGACACGGAGCUCUGGGCUCCCAAACUGAGAGUGCUAAGGAAUGCAGCUAUUUAUAAAAAUAUGCAAGCUGUACCGAGGGAGAUAAGCCUUGCUUAUGAAUAACAUUAGCCUAAAGUGCUCAGCUGAGCUCUCAUCCCUUCCCUGCCACUGCUCUCGCUGCAGAUUGGGGGGGAGAUAAGGGACAUUUGUGAGCCCAGGGGAAGGGCUGCUGUAAGUUAUUCCAACAUUCCAGCUUGGCUUUUCUCUUCCCAUUUUGUGUUAAUUUGGACCUGGCUCUUCCAUCACUCCUGGUGAGGUGCCCAGCCCUUGGUGCCACACCUGGGGGUGCCACACCUGGGGGUGCCAUGUGUCCAGGGGGUGACCCCUGGGAGACCUGGGCAGGAGCAGCAGGGCCAGG
This 1126-nucleotide long non-coding RNA is filed under the name Zonotrichia albicollis (white-throated sparrow). RNAcentral's name for it is "lncRNA (ENSZALG00000013120.1)". The record is from RNAcentral. Lineage: Eukaryota; Metazoa; Chordata; Aves; Passeriformes; Passerellidae.